AGUGGCGGACGGGUGAGUAAUGUCUGGGAAACUGCCCGAUGGAGGGGGGAUAACUACUGGAAACGGUAGCUAAUACCGCAUAACGUCGCAAGACCAAAGAGGGGGACCUUCGGGCCUCUUGCCAUCGGAUGUGCCCAGAUGGGAUUAGCUAGUAGGUGGGGUAAAGGCUCACCUAGGCGACGAUCCCUAGCUGGUCUGAGAGGAUGACCAGCCACACUGGAACUGAGACACGGUCCAGACUCCUACGGGAGGCAGCAUG
This 259-nucleotide ribosomal RNA is filed under the name uncultured bacterium. Its description in RNAcentral is "partial 16S ribosomal RNA". It matches the Rfam family "Bacterial small subunit ribosomal RNA", at positions 94 to 353 of the family's 1533-position model. The record is from RNAcentral.